This 2497-nucleotide unclassified non-coding RNA is filed under the name Harpegnathos saltator (Jerdon's jumping ant). RNAcentral describes it as "pRA1 family protein 3, transcript variant X2". Lineage: Eukaryota; Metazoa; Arthropoda; Insecta; Hymenoptera; Formicidae. The record is from RNAcentral.
CUUUUUAUAUGUUUUAUAUUUAUAUUUCUGACUGAUCGACAAUAACGAUAUGCGUCUCAUUUUUUAGUCUACGGUAUAUCAGCAUUUUCAGACUAAAUAUAUUUUGCAUAGUUAAACGUGACUUCACGUUGAACAGUUAACUUAAGAUUCUGCAUGACAUCAAGUAAUUAUCAAUAAUUCGACGCGAAAUACUUGAAACGACUUUGGAACACGUUUUAAACACCGCGGCAGAGCAAACAAACUCGCCGCCUGAAAAAAAAAAAUUCAACUAGAGAAUCCGCGUGAUAGUUAAUACACGUGGAUGCAUAAAAAAAUAAAAAAAAAAAUUCAUUCAGCGCAUGAUUACAAAUAAUUAGACGUGAACUGAAACGUGAAAUUAGACGUGUUCGAAACAGCUCUCUGACGCGUUUAAGUUAUCGCGGCAUGGAGAUCCACCAUAUCUGUGAUAAAAACCUAUUGAAAUCCGCGUGAUGGCGAACACGCGUGUAUAUACCAAAAGAUAAGAAGAAGGAUUGUUCGACGUAUAAUUAUCAAUAAUUCAAGGCGAACUGCUUGAAACGGUUUUCCAACACAGUUUUAAACAUCACGGUCGAGCAAGUCAACUCGCCGUUCGAUAAAAACUUUGGAAAAUCCAUGCGACAAUGAGUAUGCGUGUGUGUGUGUGUGUGUGUAGAAAAAUUAAGAAAAAAAAAAGAAAGAGAAAAGCCCGUUCGACGUAUAAUUAUUAAUAAAUGUACUCGAACUACUUGUACGAAACUGCUGUGAAACACGUUUUAAGAUACGCGGUAGGGUAAAUCAGCUCGCCGUUCGAUAAAAAUUCAGAAAGAUUUGCGUGACAAUAAACACGCAAAAAAUUAACAAAAAAAAAGAGAAAACGUUCGACGCGCAAUUGUUAACAAUUGAAAUCGCGAGCCUCUUAAAACAGUCUUUUGUGUAUAUUUCAAAUUCCCGCGGUAAUAUGGGCAUCCUCGUCGCUCAAUAUGAGUGACCUCUUUCGAUCUCGCACGUUAUCGUCGAUGUGCCAUCUGCCGGAAGGUGCCUGGAAACAUGAAGAAUACCCGCUUUAAUACCGAUCGCGGCAAAUGAUCGCUGUCAAAAUUCACGCGCGGAGGACAACGCUGAAACAAUAGUCCCGGUUGAUUCGCCACGUUGCAUCGCUCCUUCCGGCAUAACGCUCUCACGUUGCUCACGACUCGGGUGAUCGACGCGAAUCCGGGGAUAAAUCGAUCAAUCGUUUCCGAUUCGCGUCGUCAGCCACGCGUGACAUUCGUGCCGGACUCGUCAUCGUCCAAAAAUACAUACCGGUUGACGAACGCAAGAACGUGUAGACGGAAGAGGUAGAGAAAGAUCGACUGGUCUAGCUAGAGAGAGAUCGCGCCUCGAAGAGGGUGAAUCGUAUCUCGAAAACGCGCAUAGAUAGUCGCCACUACCACGAUGGAUAAGACAAAAUUGGUGAGCAAUGAUUUUGAGCUGCCGCCGUUGCGCAGCCUGGAUGACUUUCUGCUCGGUUCCGCACGCUUCCAAAUACCGAAUUUGAAAGACUUGGAAAAAUGGGGCAACCGUGUAGUCAACAAUCUCCUAUAUUAUCAAACCAACUACUUGUUCAUGUCUGUCAUCAUCUUUCUCGUCGUUGGAUUGAUUCAUCCUGUUAAAAUGUUAGUCGGUAUGUUAGCCAUGUUGGUCAUCUUGGGAGUAUUCAUCUAUGUAUCCAUGGAAGGAAGCGCAGCAUAUAACUUUAAGAAACGAUAUCCAGCAGUUGGGAUAACUUUUAUAAUACUAGCAGGAUGUUUUCUAACAUAUACUCUGGGAUCGCUCAUUGUUUUCUUCCUGGGCAUACUGUUGCCAUUUUGUGUGACUUUUGUGCACGCAUCACUGAGAUUAAGAAAUAUGAAGAACAAACUUGUCAAUAAAAUUGAGGGUAUUGGCUUGAAACGUACGCCGAUGGGUAUUUUCCUGGAACAUCUCGGUAUGGAAGAAGAAUUCUUUGCAUAAAUUUCUAUAGUUUGAUGUUUUCGAGUCAUUAAGGUAGAUUGAGUGAAAAUGCUUUGCAAUUUAACAACCUCUUGCUAUACCGUAUACACAACACUAUAUAUGUUUUCAUACCAAUCCAUAUAAUACGAAGCUUUGACAUCUAUUUUCAAAUGUACCUUAGAAGACGUGACUGGUUUCGCCUUGCGUGCACAGACAUCUCUCAUACAACCGCCUCACUAAUAUCCUGCUUUGCACAUCAGGUUGUAUAUAAAUUAAAUCGAUAGAUAGAAGUUAACGUCAAUAAGCGUUAACGUUUGUCAUCACUGCUGGUCUAAUCGGGUUACAAUGUUUCGCGUAGUUUUACCGCGACGGGUACAUCUAUUCGAAGUAAGUUAUCAAACAAAAAGUAAUUGUGUAUCUGCGACACUUACGAAGAGAAAAUUUAACAGAUAUCUGUUACUUGAACCAAAAACGACAAAAAGAAAAGACUAUUCCACACAACAACGCUGUACCAUUUUAUCUACAA